RNAcentral lists this ribosomal RNA (279 nucleotides) under Rhodococcus sp. IS0205. Its description in RNAcentral is "partial 16S ribosomal RNA". It matches the Rfam family "Bacterial small subunit ribosomal RNA", at positions 162 to 442 of the family's 1533-position model. The record is from RNAcentral. Lineage: Bacteria; Bacillati; Actinomycetota; Actinomycetes; Mycobacteriales; Nocardiaceae.
UCUAAUACCGGAUAUGACCUCCUAUCGCAUGGUGGGUGGUGGAAAGAUUUAUCGGUGCAGGAUGGGCCCGCGGCCUAUCAGCUUGUUGGUGGGGUAAUGGCCUACCAAGGCGACGACGGGUAGCCGACCUGAGAGGGUGACCGGCCACACUGGGACUGAGACACGGCCCAGACUCCUACGGGAGGCAGCAGUGGGGAAUAUUGCACAAUGGGCGAAAGCCUGAUGCAGCGACGCCGCGUGAGGGAUGACGGCCUUCGGGUUGUAAACCUCUUUCAGCAG